RNAcentral lists this ribosomal RNA (253 nucleotides) under uncultured bacterium. RNAcentral describes it as "partial 16S ribosomal RNA". It matches the Rfam family "Bacterial small subunit ribosomal RNA", at positions 524 to 776 of the family's 1533-position model. The record is from RNAcentral.
UACGGGGGGGGCAAGCGUUGUUCGGAAUUACUGGGCGUAAAGGGCUCGUAGGCGGCCAACUAAGUCAGACGUGAAAUCCCUCGGCUUAACCGGGGAACUGCGUCUGAUACUGGAUGGCUUGAGGUUGGGAGAGGGAUGCGGAAUUCCAGGUGUAGCGGUGAAAUGCGUAGAUAUCUGGAGGAACACCGGUGGCGAAGGCGGCAUCCUGGACCAACACUGACACUGAUGAGCGAAAGCCAGGGGAGCAAACGGG